Molecule: ribosomal RNA, 312 nt
Filed under: Triticum aestivum (bread wheat)
Lineage: Eukaryota; Viridiplantae; Streptophyta; Magnoliopsida; Poales; Poaceae
Description: partial small subunit ribosomal RNA
Source: RNAcentral
AUGAGGAAGACGCAUCAAGAUGAGCUUGAUCGGGUGGGUGUGUACAAGAGAACAAAAACAAAUCUCAACAACAAAUCCCUGAUGAUCGACACUAUCCUCCAAUUUGCCGAUGUCACUUUGAGGAAGGACAUCAGCAUGGGGAAAGUGAGGAACCAUUAUUCCGAUUGCCGCCGCUGCCCCAACUUUACAAGUGAUGAAGAACUCGAAGACCCUACAGAACACAGGCCGGACAUACAAAAAAAUGUUUUAACCUUUCAGGCUACAUUGGAGUAUGUUCUAAUUGAUGAUUCUGCUUCAUGCACAUCGAACUAG